Molecule: unclassified non-coding RNA, 282 nt
Filed under: fungal sp.
Lineage: Eukaryota; Fungi
Also listed under: 1 other name
Description: partial internal transcribed spacer region
Rfam family: Eukaryotic small subunit ribosomal RNA (bases 1-46)
Source: RNAcentral
AAGUCGUAACAAGGUUUCCGUAGGUGAACCUGCGGAAGGAUCAUUAAAGUGUUUCGGAGCCUGGCUCGGGCACCUCAACUCGAGGUGUCGGUGCCAGCGCCCCCACACGUGUUUACUCAACUUGGUUGCCUUGGUGAGCCUGCCCUUGUGGCUGCCGGGGAUGCCUCACGGCGUCCUGGGCUCGUGCUCACCAAUGGAACAUUUGAACUCUUAUGUGAAAAUAGUCAGUCUGAGCAUUAUGCAAAUUAAAUAAAACUUUCAACAACGGAUCUCUUGGUUCCG